UUUUUCCGCCUAAAGAGAAGCUUGCGGCUGAUUAGCUUGUUGGUAAGGUAAUGGCUUACCAAGGCGACGAUCAGUAUCUGGUUUGAGAGGACGAUCAGACACACUGGAACUGAGACACGGUCCAGACUCCUACGGGAGGCAGCAGUGGGGAAUUUUCCGCAAUGGGCGAAAGCCUGACGGAGCAAUACCGCGUGAGGGAUGAAUGCCUAUGGGUUGUAAACCUCUUUUUUCAGGGAGGAACAAAAUGACGUGUACCUGAAGAAUAAGCAUCGGCUAACUCCGUGCCAGCAGCCGCGGUAAGACGGAGGAUGCCAAGUGUUAUCCGGAAUCACUGGGCCGUAAAGCCGCCUGUAGGUGGUUUAAUAAGUCAACUUGUUAAAUCUUGAGGCUCAACCUCGAAACCGCA
Molecule: ribosomal RNA, 406 nt
Filed under: uncultured bacterium
Lineage: Bacteria
Description: bacterial SSU rRNA
Rfam family: Bacterial small subunit ribosomal RNA
Source: RNAcentral